Molecule: microRNA, 22 nt
Filed under: Ornithorhynchus anatinus (platypus)
Lineage: Eukaryota; Metazoa; Chordata; Mammalia; Monotremata; Ornithorhynchidae
Description: oan-miR-1421ai-5p
Source: miRBase by way of RNAcentral
AGCAGGUCAGGUGUGGUGCAGU